Molecule: long non-coding RNA, 1178 nt
Filed under: Papio anubis (olive baboon)
Lineage: Eukaryota; Metazoa; Chordata; Mammalia; Primates; Cercopithecidae
Description: lncRNA (ENSPANG00000038325.1)
Source: RNAcentral
AUGGAGUCUCGCUCUGCCACCGGGGCGGACGGCGCAAUCUCGGUUUACGGCAAGCUCCGCCUCCCGGGUUCCCGCCAUUUUCCUGCCUCAGCCUCCCGAGUAGCUGGGACUACAGAAAGGCAUAAGCCUGAUUUCUUUUGUUAGAAAUGAUUUAAAUUAGUUCAUCUGUAGGAUUCACUAAGACCAGGCUUGUUGAGAUAAAUGUAUUUCUAAUUAUGUGUUUAGAAUCUUAGGCAGGAUGUGUUGACCUCUGUCAGAGGAUUUAGCUGAACACAUUACUCAAACAUUUCUGUUAAAAUAUGGAGUGCUCAAGUCAGGAAGUAAUGCAUGAUAGGUUUUGAAGCUUGGAAAAAUAAUAAUGUUUAUUUUAUUUAAGUCUUUAAAAUUUUGAGAAUAGAAUCACUGAAACAUAAAGAAUGAGUUCCUAUGACAAUUCUGAGACUUAAAAUGAGAUGGAAAAUAUUCAGAAGUUGUUCCUGGAAUAAAAUUUGGUUUUAUUAUAAUUGUAGAUGGCUUUGAAUACAAAGAUCUUUAGAGGAUAUAUAUAUAUAUAUAUAUAGAGAGAGAGAGAGAGAGAGAGGCAUAGAAGAGUCUGAGUCUGAGAGUCCAGGCAUGGGUACUCUGGUACUGUACCUUCCUCCAUAUAAUUUUAUCUUAGAAAAAUUCUCUCUCCAAUCCUCAAUCUCUUCACUAUUAAGUGAAGAGGGUGGGUUUGCUUUAAUAAAAUUUGAGACUUAGAAGAAAGCUGAGAAGUCAUCUAGUUAGACUUCCUCAUUUUGUAGAUAAGAAUACUGUAUAAUGGUAUACACCCAGUAUACAUAGGAUGACUAUGAAAUUUGUUGAUUGUAAUGGUUAUAUAAAUAUAAUAACUGAGCAGAAUAAUUAUACUUGGUAUGUGUUUAUUUACCUUAAUCAGUUUCUUAACAUGAACUCAUCUGUCAUAUAUCAAUUGUAUAAUUUCUGAAAAACAUAUUUUUUUCUCAAAAUUGACUUAUUCUUGGGUUUCUCAUAAAAUUGCUUAUAAUACUAUAAAAAGUUACACUUGAUUAAUGAAUUUUGUAUGCUGACACUUAAUUGACCUUUCUCUGUAGAUCUUAUUCUGAAUUGAGUAAAUUCUCUCUACAGGUAAUUGGUAACUUCAGAAUAAAUUCUGCUAAAUGUGAUUAUAUUUUUAUAUU